Molecule: non-coding RNA, 27 nt
Filed under: Mus musculus (house mouse)
Lineage: Eukaryota; Metazoa; Chordata; Mammalia; Rodentia; Muridae
Source: RNAcentral
UGAGAAGAGCAUCAUCCAUUAGGACGU